This 2806-nucleotide long non-coding RNA is filed under the name Lynx pardinus (Iberian lynx). The record is from RNAcentral. Lineage: Eukaryota; Metazoa; Chordata; Mammalia; Carnivora; Felidae.
CAGCGCCGCCCCAAAAGGCUGUAGGUGCCCGGGUGCAGAGCGCCGCGGGAGCGCUGGGCGCUGGAGCGAGGUGGGGCGGAGAGGGCGUCGAGCAUUAGACGUCCGGAAAGCACUUCCCCACCUCUGGGAAGGUGGACACGGCGGCGGGACCAAGAAGGUCAGUCAGUGCUGGGUCCCGAGACUUCGGGGCGCUGACGCCACUGCGGAGAGGCAGAGGCGUGGACCAGAUGAUCUCCCGUCCCCGCCCCCCCCUCCCCCCGGGCCACCCGAGCAGCCCCCGCGUGCCUCCGGCCGCCCGGGGUGGGUGUCUCAGCCCCCUCGAGGGCGGGCUGCAGCCAGUGCAGUGGGGAGGCGCCGAGGGGUUGCAGCCUCUCGGGUUGCCCUUUCGCCAAAUCCGGGCACCGAGUUGUGUAAAUGAGGCCGAGCUCAUUUGCAUUGCAUGCUAAUGAGCAGAUCCCUUAAGUGCCUUUCCCUCCUGGCGGGAGUCUCUGCUCUCAUUCCGUGUGUGCCGCGCCAGGCUUGAACUCUCAGCGGUCUUCUGGGAGAGGGGCCUAUUUAUGGUUCACUCCACGUGUCUGACACCUUCAUCCCUCCCGCAGGUCCGCAGUCUGCCUGGUCGGCCUGCCCUUCCCCCACAGUGUCAAGAAGCCCCAGGGCUGGCACCAGGACGUAGGGACUUUAAUCAUCCCCUCUUUGCAGAGGGUACAAUGAGCCCAGAGAGGCUUGCCCAGCCCAGUGGUCAAGUUUCCUGGUGGUCAGCAGGUCCCACACCUCCAUCCAUCAUCCAGGCCACCCCUGUCUCUGGGCUGAGCUCUAUUCUAGAGCAUACCCAGGAAGGUGGCAGGGUGUGGGGCAGACACAUUUACCUCCCUGGCCUUGGGACCUGGGGUGACCUGCCCCCUAAAGCAUCCUGAUCCCUGGGUGGGGGCACCAGGGGACCCCGCCUCAGAUGCUCUCUUAGCCUGAGUGGGUAAGGGGAGAAGGGAAGCAAGACCUACAGAGAAGGCAAAAAAAAAGGGUGAAACCCUCUUUAACUCCUACCUUCCAAGUCUCAGCUCCACCAUCACCUCCUCAGAAUGGCCUUUUUCAGCAAGUAUUGCAGUGCUUACUAAGUGUCAAGGUGCUGAGGACACAGUACAGAGCUAGACAAGAAUCUGGAACCUCAAAGGCUUCACCCAGACUCGGAUUAUAGGUUUAUGUUUGUAGUAAUGAAACCCCCCUCUAGGCUCUAUGUUCCCUCGGGCAAGACUUUAUGUCCAUUUUGCUCACCAGAGCCUGGUCCCAUGUUUGGCACAUAGUAGGUACUUAAUAAAUCUUUAUUAGAUGAAUAACCUUAGGCAGGGAGGAGAAUGAGAGGGACAAGAAAUUCCUUUCCUUGGGCCUCAGUUUCCUAACAAAGAAGUUAGGCCUAAGUGUGUCUAAGAUGUCCUCUGGGUUUGAGGGAGAGCCUUCAUACCUGCUCUGCCAGCCCCACCAGCCCCCUCCAACCGUCUCCCCCUUACACCUCCUUCACAGCCUGGCUGGCUCCCUCAGGAACUGAGAUAAUCUUCCCAUCUCUGACAUGCUCUGCUCAGCGAUGACACAUCAUUCCAUGUAGUCACCUCACAGCCUUGGGAGUUGGGUGGAGGUCGUCCCAUUUUUUGGAUAAGAAAACUGAGGCUUGGGGAGAUGACCUUAUUUCAGUGACUUCUCAAACUGGGAGGUCCUGUCUCCAAUGGCACUGGCCCACAGCUCCUCCAGAACAGCCCCUGCUGGCUGAGCGAGGAGCGGAUGCAAGCGGGACCAGCAAAGGCUGCAGACUUUAAAAAUCCCGUAUCUGAGCAAGACUUACGUUCAGCUUUGUCCUAGUCAGAAAAUGCUAGCUCUCCCGGGAGCCCUAACCCUUUAAGGCCCUAACUGCUUCCUUUGAACCUGUUACAGGAUCCCUUUCUCAAGCACAUGCCUGGUAUCAGAGGAAGGGAACUGAGGACACACAGAGCAGAGUGAAGGCUGGCUAGAGAGGUAGGAAACACCAAAUGCACCUCCUUUCACAACUGUGCCUGCACCUCCUGGAGGAAGAGGAAGGUUCAGCAGUUUUUACUGUACCCUGAAGGCCCCAGAAAGAACCAGAUGUGAUGAGUGGUCGCAGGUCCAUCUGUUACCCUCCCUGGGACUUGAAUAUCUAACCAUCGAAGGCCAAAGGUACCUGCCUCACUGCCUCAUUCGUAUGGGUCAAUGAGACGGACGCAGAGGGUUUUGCAAACUGCCCAGACUUUCCAGAGCCAGGGCUGGGGCUGCCAAAAAGGCCACCUGUGCUUCACCACACUCCAUCCUCCCUCCUCACUGCCCACCCCCCCUCCCCAGACCCGGCUCCACUGGCCCAGUCCUCAGACUUCCUGGCCAACACUGAGCAGGCUCUAGCCAGAAAAGGGCCAGCUGACCUUGUUGGCCAGAGCCCUAAUCCCCUCCAGAUGGGCCAAGGUGGCUUGCACCACCAAAAGCUGCCCAGCCAAAGCUGACCCUGGUCCCACUGAGCAUGUGUGGCUGUGUGUGACCAUGUGCAGACCUUGCAGUGACAGUCCGGUCUCCCACUCCUCCCCACUGCUGACAUCCGCACAAACAGUGGCCCCACUCCAGUCUCGCCUCCAACAGCCUCUUCUGUCUGUCUGUACUGGGUGGCUCUGGGGCUGCGACAGUGCCCAGGCUCAGCAGACCCCUGAAGGGUGUGGGGAGGGAGAAGCUCCUCCCNGGAGGGGUGGGGGGGGGGAGACCCCCCCCCCCCCCCCCCCCCCCCGCCUGUCAGCCUCAUCCCGCUGCACCUGCCCUU